UACAGAGGUCCCGAGCGUUGUUCGGAUUCAUUGGGCGUAAAGGGUGCGUAGGUGGCGAGGUAAGUCGGAUGUGAAAGCUCGGAGCUCAGCUCCGAAAUGGCAUUGGAAACUACCUUGCUAGAGGGUCGGAGGGGGGACUGGAAUUCUUGGUGUAGCAGUGAAAUGCGUAGAUAUCAAGAGGAACACCAGUGGCGAAGGCGAGUCCCUGGACGACUCCUGACACUGAGGCACGAAAGCUAGGGGAGCAAACAGG
This 253-nucleotide ribosomal RNA is filed under the name uncultured bacterium. RNAcentral describes it as "partial 16S ribosomal RNA". It matches the Rfam family "Bacterial small subunit ribosomal RNA", at positions 524 to 776 of the family's 1533-position model. The record is from RNAcentral.